RNAcentral lists this ribosomal RNA (250 nucleotides) under uncultured archaeon. Its description in RNAcentral is "partial 16S ribosomal RNA". It matches the Rfam family "Archaeal small subunit ribosomal RNA", at positions 474 to 723 of the family's 1478-position model. The record is from RNAcentral.
CCCCAGCGCCACAAGUGGGAACCACGCUUAUUGGGUCUAAAGCAUCCGUAGCCGGUUUGGCAAAUGCCCUGUGAAAUCGUUGCGCUCAACGUAACGGCGUGCAGGGUAGACUACCAAACUAGAGACCAGGGGAAGCAGACGGUAUUCCUGAGGGAGCGGUAAAAUGCGAUAAUCUCAGGAGGACCACCGAUGGCGAAGGCAGUCUGCUAACAUGGAUCUGACGGUGAGGGAUGAAAGCUAGGGGAGCGAU